Molecule: ribosomal RNA, 557 nt
Filed under: uncultured Novosphingobium sp.
Lineage: Bacteria; Pseudomonadati; Pseudomonadota; Alphaproteobacteria; Sphingomonadales; Sphingomonadaceae
Description: bacterial SSU rRNA
Rfam family: Bacterial small subunit ribosomal RNA
Source: RNAcentral
ACGGGUGCGUAACGCGUGGGAAUCUGCCCUUGGGUUCGGAAUAACAGUUAGAAAUGACUGCUAAUACCGGAUGAUGUCUUCGGACCAAAGAUUUAUCGCCCAAGGAUGAGCCCGCGUAAGAUUAGCUAGUUGGUGGGGUAAUGGCCCACCAAGGCGACGAUCUUUAGCUGGUCUGAGAGGAUGAUCAGCCACACUGGGACUGAGACACGGCCCAGACUCCUACGGGAGGCAGCAGUGGGGAAUAUUGGACAAUGGGCGAAAGCCUGAUCCAGCAAUGCCGCGUGAGUGAUGAAGGCCUUAGGGUUGUAAAGCUCUUUUACCAGGGAUGAUAAUGACAGUACCUGGAGAAUAAGCUCCGGCUAACUCCGUGCCAGCAGCCGCGGUAAUACGGAGGGAGCUAGCGUUGUUCGGAAUUACUGGGCGUAAAGCGUACGUAGGCGGUUACUCAAGUCAGAGGUGAGAGCCCGGGGCUCAACCCCGGAACUGCCUUUGAAACUAGGUAGCUAGAGUCUUGGAGAGGUUAGUGGAAUUCCGAGUGUAGAGGUGAAAUUCGUAGA